CGGGGCUGGGGGCGGGGCUGGCGGGCCGUUCGAACGGCGCUGCCGCUGCUGGUGGCGCUCGGGCCGGGCUGCGGGCGUGUGCCCCCGGGCAGCCCAACACAACACAGCCCGGCCCGGCCCGGCCUGGCCUGGCCUCCCUCCUCUCCAGAGUGCCCGAGGGGCUGGCAAGGCUUCCUUCCCGGGGGAACAGGCCGCGCUGCUGCCGCCGGCUCCUCCGCCGCCGCUCCGCGACAGACAAUGGACGAGCAGGGUCCUGGGGAAACGUGGCCCCGCCACACUACGAAGCAGGAGUAUGUUGCCAGGGCAACAGAGUGUAAGCAGGAGCACAGCACCUUGCAGAUCACAAAGGCAAAGCUGCAGAAAGACAUUUCAGCGAGUUUCUCUCUCCCUUUUGCAAUGUAAUGACAACUUAUUUUUCAUGCACUGAUUUAAUAAUCUUAUUGAAAGAUCCUUUCCCGGUUUCUCUUAUUCUUGUCUGUCUGAGCACGGACAAAGGCAAAAAUCUGGAAUUGUCAAGCCCACUGGGCUCAGCAAACUAACAGAUGUAAUAUGUUUAGCAUUUUUAUGUAAUUACUUUUUAUUGCUAUUUUACCCUACUUCUAUUCCUCCCCAGUUAGAUGCUGCUUCCCUUCCAUUCCAAACCAAUCAGGGGAUGGAGAGGGGCUGGGGGAGAGUUGGUAAUUGACGGCAUUAAUCGGGAAUUAUUAGUGGGACGUGUUUUCAGAGGUGGGGGUUGGGUGCAGCAAGAGACCUUUUAGGAAGGGUGAAUUGAAUUAUGGGCGAUGCAAUAAUGAAGCCUGUGGGCUGUGAGCUGUAGAGGACACUCAUCCUCACAGAGCUCUGAGUGUUAUUUAUCACGGGCUCUGCUCUCUGGGUGAAAACCAGCACGUUGCCCUGCUGACAUCCUCUGGGUGAGGGGCUCUCAACUAGAUGGGCUGAAAAACAAGCUGAUUUGGGAUGAUUAAAAAUGGAAAUGUCUAGAGAUCGUCGAUGUUGGUUAGACUGGGAGCAGAAAUGCUGCAGCCAAACCCUCAGCAAGGCGCAGUGUGCCCAGUCUGUCCCUUGUAAACGUUUUGCUUCUUUCCCAAGGGCCAGGCUGAGGAGGGAAGAUGUGGAAAGGAAUCGUUGCAGGCUGCAGAAUGGGAGGUAGGGGAAGGCUCUGUGAAAUGGAGUACAAAAGCUCUGGGUCACCUCACCUUGGCUGA
RNAcentral lists this long non-coding RNA (1205 nucleotides) under Junco hyemalis (dark-eyed junco). RNAcentral describes it as "lncRNA (ENSJHYG00000010826.1)". Lineage: Eukaryota; Metazoa; Chordata; Aves; Passeriformes; Passerellidae. The record is from RNAcentral.